AGCCUUCUGCAUCUGUGCUGAGAUUUCGUCACACACCAAACCACAAGGGCUGAUGAGACUUCCGAAACAGUGAAGCG
Molecule: non-coding RNA, 77 nt
Organism: Schistosoma curassoni
Lineage: Eukaryota; Metazoa; Platyhelminthes; Trematoda; Strigeidida; Schistosomatidae
Source: Rfam